This 613-nucleotide long non-coding RNA is filed under the name Olea europaea subsp. europaea. The record is from RNAcentral. Lineage: Eukaryota; Viridiplantae; Streptophyta; Magnoliopsida; Lamiales; Oleaceae.
UUCUCUAAACAUCCCCCUAUCCCAUCCCAACCCAAAACCAGUCACCAUCGACCACCAUCCCUAAUACACACGACGCCGCACCACCCACUGCAGCCACCAUAAAUGCAACCACCUACAAAAUUAAUUUUUGGUAUGUCUUAACUAUAUGCCUACUAGAGAGCAAUUAAUUUUUGCUCAAUUUUUCCCACCAAAACUCAGUGAUUUUUGUAAUUCAAUUCCACCAUCUCUAUUUUGGGUCUUAAAUUUUUUUCUCGAAGUUGAUGAGAAGCUGCUUGUCAACAGCACCACCUUUAGGAGAACUAAUGGAAACGAGGGCAAGGCAAGUUAGCUUUUUCUUCGAUAUGAUCGAUUUACCCCUAUUAUUUUGGAUUGAAGGCAGAUCUUCCAAUGAACACCCUUUUUCUGGCUUUGAUACCAUUCUUAAUUUCAUUUGGCAUUGGGUUCUUGGUGCAGUACGAUGUUGUGCGGUGUGGCAGUGGCGAUGACGAACGGGUGGUACUGUAAUGACGACAAUGGGUUUGCAGUGGUCGGAGUGAUUUGGUUUGGUUUUUGUUUUUUUUUUUUUUUAUUUUGGGGAUGGAGAGUGAGAUGUUUGGAGAAGAAUAAGUACUUG